UCUCGGCUUAUCACCGGCAGUCCCCCUAGAGUGCCCAACUGAAUGAUGGCAACUAAGGACAAGGGUUGCGCUCGUUGCGGGACUUAACCCAACAUGUCACCACACGAGCUGACGACAGCCAUGCAGCACCUGUCUUCUCGUCGUAUUGCUACGAACUCCCUAUCUCUAGGGAUAGCGAGAGAUGUCAAACCCAGGUAAGGUUCUUCGCGUUGCUUCGAAUUAAACCACAUGAUCCACCGCUUGUGCGGGCCCCCGUCAAUUCCUUUGAGUUUUAGUCUUGCGACCGUACUUCCCAGGCGGGGUACUUAGUGCGUUAGCGCCGACUCAGCGGGGGUCAAAUCCCACCAAGUCUAGUACCCAUCGUUUACAGCGUGGACUAC
This 380-nucleotide unclassified non-coding RNA is filed under the name uncultured Oligoflexales bacterium. RNAcentral's name for it is "contains 16S-23S intergenic spacer region". The record is from RNAcentral. Lineage: Bacteria; Pseudomonadati; Bdellovibrionota; Oligoflexia; Oligoflexales.